Molecule: ribosomal RNA, 1356 nt
Filed under: uncultured marine eukaryote
Lineage: Eukaryota
Description: SSU rRNA
Rfam family: Eukaryotic small subunit ribosomal RNA
Source: RNAcentral
CACUUCUAAGGAAGGCAGCAGGCGCGCAAAUUACCCAAUCCUGACUCAGGGAGGUAGUGACAAGAAAUAACAAUAAACCGGCUUAUGCCGGUUUAAUUGGAAUGAGUACAAUUUAAACAUCUUAACGAGGAACAAUUGGAGGGCAAGUCUGGUGCCAGCAGCCGCGGUAAUUCCAGCUCCAAUAGCGUAUACUAAAGUUGUUGCAGUUAAAAAGCUCGUAGUUGGAUUUCUGUGGGGACGGAGCGGCCGGCCGCACAUCGCGGUUCGAGCUAGCGCUUUCCCUACAUCCUGCCGCGAACCGUGCUACCAUUAGUUUGGUGGCGCUGGGGAUCGGCUCGAUUACUUUGAGAAAAAUAGAGUGUUCAAAGCAGGCCACAUGCCUUGAAUAAGUUAGCAUGGAAUAAUAACUAAGGACUUCGGUUCUAUUUUGUUGGUGUUCGGGACUGAAGUAAUGAUUGAUAGGGACAGUUGGGGCGGUCUGUAUUCCAAAGCGAGAGGUGAAAUUCUUAGACCUUCGGAAGACAAACAGCUGCGAAAGCGUUCCGCAAGGAUGUUCCCUUUGAUCAAGAACGAAAGUUGGGGGAUCGAAGACGAUCAGAUACCGUCGUAGUCUCAACUAUAAACUAUACCAGCUAGGGAUCGGCCAACGUUAUUUUAUACCGACUUGGUCGGCACCUUAUGAGAAAUCAAAGCAUCUGGGUUCCGGGGGGAGUAUGGUCGCAAGGCUGAAACUUAAAGGAAUUGACGGAAGGGCACCACCAGCCGUGGAGCCUGUGGCUUAAUUUGACUCAACACGGGAAAACUUACCAGGUCCAGACAUAGUAAGGAUUGACAGAUUGAUAGCUCUUUCUUGAUUCUGUGGGUGGUGGUGCAUGGCCGUUCUUAGUUGGUGGAGUGAUUUGUCUGGUUAAUUCCGUUAACGAACGAGACCCCAGCCUGCUAAAUAGCGCGCGUGAGCUUUGCUCGCGGCGAGCUUCUUAGAGGGACUAUGAUGCGCGAUAGCACAUAGAAGUUUGGGGCAAUAACAGGUCUGUGAUGCCCUUAGAUGUUCUGGGCCGCACACGGGCUACACUGGCGCCUGCAACGAGCAUAUCAGCUGGCCCGAGAGGGUCUUGGCUAAUCUUUUGAACCGGCGCCGUGCUUGGGAUUGACCUUUGCAAUUGUUGGUCAUGCAACGAGGAAUGCCUUGUAAACGCGAGUCAUCAGCUCGCAUUGAAUACGUCCCUGCCCUUUGUACACACCGCCCGUCGCUCCUACCGAUGAAUGUUCCGAUGAAAUUUUCGGAGAGCACCUGUGAACUUGGCUCUGCCUUGCGAACGGGAGGCUCAAAAUCACUUAAAUCUGAACAUUUCGAGG